This 501-nucleotide ribosomal RNA is filed under the name uncultured bacterium. RNAcentral's name for it is "bacterial SSU rRNA". It matches the Rfam family "Bacterial small subunit ribosomal RNA", at positions 903 to 1397 of the family's 1533-position model. The record is from RNAcentral.
AAAUGAAUAGACGGGGGCCCGCACAAGCGGUGGAGCAUGUGGUUUAAUUCGACGCAACGCGAAGAACCUUACCUGGGCUUGAACUGUCGGUAUAGGGACCCGAAAGGGCGACGAUCCCGGGCAACCGGGAAGCCGAUAGAGGUGCUGCAUGGCUGUCGUCAGCUCGUGUCGUGAGAUGUUGGGUUAAGUCCCGCAACGAGCGCAACCCUUGUCUUUAGUUGCCAGCGAGUCAUGUCGGGCACUCUAAGGAGACUGCCUCGGAUAACGAGGAGGAAGGUGGGGAUGACGUCAAGUCAGCAUGGCCUUUAUGUCCAGGGCUACACACGUGCUACAAUGGGCGGUACAGAAGGACGCGAGACCGCGAGGUCAAGCCAACCCUUAAAACCGUUCUCAGUUCGGAUUGCAGGCUGCAAUUCGCCUGCAUGAAGUCGGAAUCGCUAGUAAUCGCGGAUCAGCUACGCCGCGGUGAAUACGUUCUCGGGCCUUGUACACACCGCCCGU